AGUCGACGGAGUUAGCAAGUAGUACCGGCUAACUUAAACUUAUUGGUGGGUCCUACAUGGGGGUUGGUUGGUGACCUGUCGCUCUCAACUUGUGGUUUUUGUAUUUGGAAAACGUUGGGUUGGAAUCUAAUCAUUCAUUUAUCAGUUAGGUAGCGACCGUGGAAAGCCAAUCGUAGCAAUAUAGGCCUGGGCAUUUUUCAUUUGAUGGUUGGACCUUGAAAUUGUUCAUUCAAUGGGCCUUUAUGAUAGCUCCAAUGCAAUCUUCCGUAAAAAUUUGUAAGGUGUAGAAUAGAAAAGGAACCAGUUUUGAAGAUUUUCUCUUGCUUUUCCGGUUCCGGUUCUGUGAGAAACAGUGGCGUUUCUUUUUAGUUAGAGAUGAAGAAGUCGCCAUUGCCAGUGCAAAACAUGUACAGCAGUGUGAAGAAGAUAACCGAAAAGGAAGCGUUUGUGAGGCUUUUGAGAUGGCAUUUUGCUUAUUCUGAUUCUAAAGUCAAGCAAUUGAGACUUUGUCAGGUACUCUAAAUAACACUAUUUCAGAGAGCUGGAAUGAAUUACUAAUACUUUUUUUUUUUUUUUUGAUUGAUAACUGUUUGUGAAAGGGAGAAAUUGCUUUUAAUGGAUGCCAAUUGGAGUAGGGAUGAUCAUUUGUUAUCAGAUUGCUGCAGUUGGAAAAACCUGGGAGUGUGCUUGGUUUUAGCAGGGUACUAUUGCAGAAUAGCUGUUGGUCGUCCACUGCAAAUUUAAGGUACUUCUCGUCCCGAAUUUCUUCUUUGAUGUUUUGAAUGGUUGGGUUCUCGGGAAGAACCAGAGGGUACUUGUAUAAAUGAUAGGUAAUCCAGACCAACAUUUUGAAUAGAGAAAUUUCAGAUAUUGAGCUGCAGAGAAAAACAUCUGUUCAACUCCUAUAUCUUCUUUGAUUUUAAAUUGUGUCAUCAUGAACUGAGGAUGAUAUAGUUUGCAAUGUACUCUGAAUGUUUAUUUUGGUCAUAGUAGAAAAUACGUGAAUUGCUUCUGUGCAAAA
Molecule: long non-coding RNA, 1021 nt
Organism: Jatropha curcas
Lineage: Eukaryota; Viridiplantae; Streptophyta; Magnoliopsida; Malpighiales; Euphorbiaceae
Source: RefSeq, a predicted model, not a curated record